GCGCCCGUAGCUCAUCAGGAUAGAGCAUCAGAUUCCUAAUCUGGGGGUAGCAGGUUCGAGUCCUGCCGGGCGCACCA
This 77-nucleotide transfer RNA is filed under the name Alphaproteobacteria bacterium. RNAcentral's name for it is "tRNA-Arg". It matches the Rfam family "tRNA". Rfam says of the family: Transfer RNA (tRNA) molecules are approximately 80 nucleotides in length. Their secondary structure includes four short double-helical elements and three loops (D, anti-codon, and T loops). Further hydrogen bonds mediate the characteristic L-shaped molecular structure. tRNAs have two regions of fundamental functional importance: the anti-codon, which is responsible for specific mRNA codon recognition, and the 3' end, to which the tRNAs corresponding amino acid is attached (by aminoacyl-tRNA synthetases). tRNAs cope with the degeneracy of the genetic code in two manners: having more than one tRNA (with a specific anti-codon) for a particular amino acid; and 'wobble' base-pairing, i.e. permitting non-standard base-pairing at the 3rd anti-codon position. Lineage: Bacteria; Pseudomonadati; Pseudomonadota; Alphaproteobacteria. RNAcentral also lists the same sequence under 2 other names. The record is from RNAcentral.